RNAcentral lists this ribosomal RNA (490 nucleotides) under uncultured bacterium. RNAcentral describes it as "partial 16S ribosomal RNA". It matches the Rfam family "Bacterial small subunit ribosomal RNA", at positions 28 to 507 of the family's 1533-position model. The record is from RNAcentral.
GAUGAACGCUAGCGAUAGGCUUAACACGUGCAAGUCGAGGGGCAGCAUGGUCUUAGCUUGCUAAGACUGAUGGCGACCGGCGCACGGGUGCGUAACGCGUAUGCAACUUGCCUCACAGAGGGGGAUAACCCGUCGAAAGACGGACUAAUACCGCGUACACUCCAUCUUGGGCAUCCAAGGUAGAGGAAAUGAACUUCGCUGUGAGAUAGGCAUGCGUCCCAUUAGCUAGUUGGUGAGGUAACGGCUCACCAAGGCGACGAUGGGUAGGGGAACUGAGAGGUUGAACCCCCACACUGGUACUGAGACACGGACCAGACUCCUACGGGAGGCAGCAGUGAGGAAUAUUGGGCAAUGGGCGAGAGCCUGAACCAGCCAAGUCGCGUGAAGGAUGACUGUCUUAUGGAUUGUAAACUUCUUUUAUACGGGAAUAACAAGAGUCACGUGUGACUCCCUGCAUGUACCGUAUGAAUAAGCAUCGGCUAACUCCGUG